RNAcentral lists this ribosomal RNA (292 nucleotides) under uncultured bacterium. Its description in RNAcentral is "partial 16S ribosomal RNA". It matches the Rfam family "Bacterial small subunit ribosomal RNA", at positions 505 to 796 of the family's 1533-position model. The record is from RNAcentral.
GUGCCAGCCGCCGCGGUAAUACGGAGGAUGCAAGCGUUAUCCGGAAUGAUUGGGCGUAAAGCGUCCGCAGGUGGCUGUGUAAGUCUGCUGUUAAAGAGUGAGGCUCAACCUCAUAAAAGCAGUGGAAACUACACGGCUAGAGUGCGUUCGGGGCAGAGGGAAUUCCUGGUGUAGCGGUGAAAUGCGUAGAUAUCAGGAAGAACACCGGUGGCGAAAGCGCUCUGCUAGGCCGCAACUGACACUGAGGGACGAAAGCUAGGGGAGCGAAUGGGAUUAGAAACCCGGGUAGUCC